This 336-nucleotide ribosomal RNA is filed under the name uncultured bacterium. RNAcentral's name for it is "bacterial SSU rRNA". It matches the Rfam family "Bacterial small subunit ribosomal RNA", at positions 18 to 344 of the family's 1533-position model. The record is from RNAcentral.
CCUGGCUCAGGACGAACGCUGGCGGCGUGCCUAAUACAUGCAAGUAGAACGCUGAAGAGAGGAGCUUGCUCUUCUUGGAUGAGUUGCGAACGGGUGAGUAACGCGUAGGUAACCUGCCUGGUAGCGGGGGAUAACUAUUGGAAACGAUAGCUAAUACCGCAUGAAAUUGCUUAUCGCAUGAUAAUUAAUUGAAAGAUGCAAUUGCAUCACUACCAGAUGGACCUGCGUUGUAUUAGCUAGUUGGUGAGGUAACGGCUCACCAAGGCGACGAUACAUAGCCGACCUGAGAGGAUGCUCGACCACGCAGGGACUGAGACACAGCCCAAACUCCUACGG